This 1352-nucleotide ribosomal RNA is filed under the name metagenome. RNAcentral's name for it is "bacterial LSU rRNA". It matches the Rfam family "Bacterial large subunit ribosomal RNA", at positions 1564 to 2925 of the family's 2925-position model. The record is from RNAcentral.
GAUUGGGAGGGGGUUACGACCCCUGCAUGGUGAACGAUAGUGCCAAGAAAAGCCGAAGACGUGAUGAAUAUUCAGUACCCGUACCCAAAACCGACACAGGUUGGGAGGUUGAGAAUACUAAGGGGCGCGAGGUAACUCUCUCUAAGGAACUCGGCAAAAUGGCCCCGUAACUUCGGGAGAAGGGGUGCCCUCUGUAAGGGGGGCCGCAGUGAAGAGUCCCAGGCGACUGUUUACCAAAAACACAGGUCUCUGCAAACUCGUAAGAGGACGUAUAGGGGCUGACGCCUGCCCAGUGCCGGAAGGUUAAGGAAGUUGGUCAGUCUUUGGAUGAAGCUGACGACCGAAGCCCCGGUGAACGGCGGCCGUAACAAUAACGGUCCUAAGGUAGCGAAAUUCCUUGUCGGGUAAGUUCCGACCCGCACGAAAGGCGUAACGAUCUGGGAGCUGUCUCGGAGAGAGGCUCGGCGAAAUAGGAUUGUCUGUGAAGAUACGGACUACCUGCACCUGGACAGAAAGACCCUAUGAAGCUUUACUGUAGCCUGGAAUUGGGUUCGGGCUUUGACUGCGCAGGAUAGGUGGGAGACUAUGACUUCAUCCUUGUGGGGAUGAAGGAGUCAUUGGUGAGAUACCACUCUGUCAAGGCUAGAAUUCUAACCUGUAGCCGUUAGCCGGCACGGGAACAGUUUCAGGUGGGCAGUUUGACUGGGGCGGUCGCCUCCUAAAUGGUAACGGAGGCGCGCAAAGGUUCCCUCAGGCUGGUUGGAAAUCAGCCAUCGAGUGUAAAGGCAUAAGGGAGCUUGACUGCAAGACUGACAAGUCGAGCAGGGACGAAAGUCGGCCUUAGUGAUCCGACGGUUCUGAGUGGAAGGGCCGUCGCUCAACGGAUAAAAGUUACUCUAAGGAUAACAGGCUGAUCUCCCCCAAGAGUUCACAUCGACGGGGAGGUUUGGCACCUCGAUGUCGGCUCGUCGCAACCUGGGGCUGAAGUAGGUCCCAAGGGUUGGGCUGUUCGCCCAUUAAAGCGGCACGCGAGCUGGGUUCAGAACGUCGUGAGACAGUUCGGUCCAUAUCCGGUGUAGGCGUAGGAGUAUUGAGGGGAGUCCUUCUUAGUACGAGAGGACCGGAAGGAACGCACCGCUGGUGUACCUGUUAUCGUGCCAACGGUAAACGCAGGGUAGCUAUGUGCGGAGUGGAUAACCGCUGAAAGCAUCUAAGUGGGAAGCCCACCCCAAGAUGAGUACUCCCAUGGGGUAACCCAGUAAGGUCACGGGAAGACCACCCGUUAAUAGGUGCUAUGUGGAAGUGCAGCAAUGUAUGAAGCAGAGGCAUACUAACAGACCGAGGGCUUGUCA